Long non-coding RNA from Nematostella vectensis (starlet sea anemone), 743 nucleotides. RefSeq lists it as uncharacterized. The record is from RefSeq and is a predicted model, not a curated record. The transcript is spliced from 2 exons. NCBI's taxonomy places the organism in Eukaryota, Metazoa, Cnidaria, Anthozoa, Actiniaria, Edwardsiidae.
AAAAAGUUCUCGAAGUUAGAGUUUUGCUUGCGUCACCCUUAUACCAUCGCCCUAGUCGAACGAUGAUGAGCGACGAAUACUUUGAGAGUCUUCUCGAGGGGGGCGCCGCCGACCUCCCGGCCGUCGAGACGUUGGACUGCCCGACGCAAGCCGUCCCGGAAGCCGUUUCUUUAGAACCCCCAAGACAAGUAGCAGCUGUAAGAAGCAAAGAGAGACAGUGCACCACUUGCCAUUUUCCUAUGAAAGGUCACAAGAAUAUCUCCACCUGUCCAAGAAAUCAAAAAUAGAUUUAGAGAUAGAUAGAGGCUUUGCUCAUUAUAAGGCAGAAAAUAAUAAGAGUGCUGCAGUGCUUAUACAAGUAAAUAUCGUAUGUACACUUGAUUCAUGGAUUAAUGACAACCACUCUACAUUCUGUGAAAUGUGUUGUAGACUGUCAGCUAUAAAAAUUCAAUUUAUUAUAAUUAAUCUGGGGUUAAAUUUUUUAAACAUAUGUAAGGAAAUAGAAAUAGAAUUCAUUGUUUAGUUAUUUGCACUUAAAAAUAAAUAAAUAACUGGCAGCUGAAAUUGAUGUAAAGAAAAAGCAUUGUCUUUGCCUACCACCUUAUAACGAUUUGUACUUGGAUCGAUAACAAUGUGGGAGAGUUUCUUUUACUGAAAGCACCAAUAAUAAAUAAAACAUACACAUGGAAAUAAUUCCAAUAUCCAAAUCAAUGAACAACGAAAAUAAAUGGGAAUUAAUCAUC